UAGAGUUUGAUCAUGGCUCAGGACGAACGCUGGCGGCGUGCCUAACACAUGCAAGUCGAACGAAGUAUAUUUUUCGGAAUAUGCUUAGUGGCGGACGGGUGAGUAACGCGUGAACAAUCUGCCCUAUACAGAGGAAUAGCCUCGGGAAACCGGGAUUAAAACCGCAUGACACUUUAAUACCGCAUGGUAUAGAAGUCAAAUUGAUUAAGAGGUAUAGGAUGAGUUCGCGUCUGAUUAGCUAGUUGGGAAGGUAACGGCUUACCAAGGCGACGAUCAGUAGCCGGCCUGAGAGGGUGAACGGCCACACUGGAACUGAGACACGGUCCAGACUCCUACGGGAGGCAGCAGUGGGGAAUAUUGCACAAUGGAGGAAACUCUGAUGCAGCGACGCCGCGUGAGUGAAGAAGGUCUUCGGAUCGUAAAACUCUGUCCUUGGUGAAGAAAAAAUGACGGUAGCCAAGGAGGAAGCCCCGGCUAACUACGUGCCAGCAGCCGCGGUAAUACGUAGGGGGCGAGCGUUGUCCGGAUUUACUGGGCGUAAAGGGUGAGUAGGCGGUUAUAUAUGUCAGAUGUAAAAGGCUAUGGCUUAACCAUAGUUAGCAUUUGAAACUGUAUGACUUGAGUGCAGGAGAGGUAAGUGGAAUUCCUAGUGUAGCGGUGAAAUGCGUAGAUAUUAGGAGGAACACCAGUGGCGAAGGCGACUUACUGGACUGUAACUGACGCUGAGUCACGAAAGCGUGGGUAGCAAACAGGAUUAGAUACCCUGGUAGUCCACGCUGUAAACGAUGAGUGCUAGGUGUUGGGUAGCGAUACUCAGUGCCGAAGUAAACACAAUAAGCACUCCGCCUGGGGAGUACGGUCGCAAGACUGAAACUCAAAGGAAUUGACGGGGACCCGCACAAGCAGCGGAGCAUGUGGUUUAAUUCGAAGCAACGCGAAGAA
This 942-nucleotide ribosomal RNA is filed under the name Clostridium sp. enrichment culture clone e-7. RNAcentral describes it as "bacterial SSU rRNA". It matches the Rfam family "Bacterial small subunit ribosomal RNA", at positions 1 to 968 of the family's 1533-position model. The record is from RNAcentral. Lineage: Bacteria; Bacillati; Bacillota; Clostridia; Eubacteriales; Clostridiaceae.